Molecule: ribosomal RNA, 468 nt
Filed under: uncultured bacterium
Lineage: Bacteria
Description: partial 16S ribosomal RNA
Rfam family: Bacterial small subunit ribosomal RNA
Source: RNAcentral
GACGAACGCUGGCGGCGUGCCUAACACAUGCAAGUCGAACGGAAAGGCCCUGCUUUUGUGUGGUGCUCGAGUGGCGAACGGGUGAGUAACACGUGAGUAACCUGCCCUUGACUUUAGGAUAACUUCAGGAAACUGGGGCUACUACCGGAUAGGAGCUGCUGCUGCAUGGUGGGGGUCGGACAGUUUCGGCGGAUGGGGAUGGACUCGCGGCUUAUCAGCUUGUUGGUGGGGUAGUGGCCUACCAAGGCUUUGACGGCUAGUCGGCCUGAGAGGGUGACCGGGCACAUUGGGACUGAGAUACGGCCCAGUCGCGUACGGGAGGCAGAGGGGGGGAAUAUGGCACAGUGGGCGGGAGCGUGAGGCAGCAACGCCGCGUGUGGGAUGACGGCCUUCGGGUUGUAAACCGCUUUAGCCUGUGACGAAGCGUGAGUGACGGUAAUGGGUAAAGAAGCACCGGCUAACUACGUG